CUACGGGUCACACCAGUGAGGAAUAUUGCGCAAUGGGGGAAACCCUGACGCAGCGACGCCGCGUGGAUGAUGAAGGCCUUAGGGUCGUAAAAUCCUGUCAGGUGGGAAGAAGUGGAUAUAGAUUAAUACUCUAUUUCUUUGACGGUACCACCAAAGGAAGCACCGGCUAACUCCGUGCCAGCAGCCGCGGUAAUACGGAGGGUGCAAACGUUGUUCGGAAUUACUGGGCGUAAAGCGCGCGUAGGCGGUUUGUUAAGUCAGAUGUGAAAGUCCAUGGCUUAACUAUGGAAGUGCAUUUGAAACUGGCAGUCUUGAGUACUGGAGGGGGUGAUGGAAUUCCCGGUGUAGAGGUGAAAUUCGUAGAUAUCGGGAGGAAUACCGGUGGCGAAGGCGAUCACCUGGCCAGAUACUGACGCUGAGGUGCGAAAGCGUGGGGAGCAAACAGGAUUAGAUACCCUAGUAGUC
RNAcentral lists this ribosomal RNA (465 nucleotides) under uncultured bacterium. RNAcentral's name for it is "partial 16S ribosomal RNA". It matches the Rfam family "Bacterial small subunit ribosomal RNA", at positions 339 to 795 of the family's 1533-position model. The record is from RNAcentral.